RNAcentral lists this ribosomal RNA (251 nucleotides) under uncultured Acetobacter sp. RNAcentral's name for it is "partial 16S ribosomal RNA". It matches the Rfam family "Bacterial small subunit ribosomal RNA", at positions 524 to 774 of the family's 1533-position model. The record is from RNAcentral. Lineage: Bacteria; Pseudomonadati; Pseudomonadota; Alphaproteobacteria; Acetobacterales; Acetobacteraceae.
UACGAAGGGGGCUAGCGUUGCUCGGAAUGACUGGGCGUAAAGGGCGUGUAGGCGGUUUGUACAGUCAGAUGUGAAAUCCCCGGGCUUAACCUGGGAGCUGCAUAUGAUACGUGCAGACUAGAGUGUGUGAGAGGGUUGUGGAAUUCCCAGUGUAGAGGUGAAAUUCGUAGAUAUUGGGAAGAACACCGGUGGCGAAGGCGGCAACCUGGCUCAUUACUGACUCUGAGGCGCGAAACCGUGGGGAGCAAACA